Long non-coding RNA from Acanthochromis polyacanthus (spiny chromis), 1993 nucleotides. RefSeq lists it as uncharacterized. The transcript has 5 exons. The record is from RefSeq and is a predicted model, not a curated record. NCBI's taxonomy places the organism in Eukaryota, Metazoa, Chordata, Actinopteri, Pomacentridae.
GAGCUAGACCGCUCACUGGCCGCUGAGAGGCGGUAAAUAGGAGCUGACCAGUGUUGCCAAGUCCGCUUAUUAUAAGCGACUUUGGGCUUGUUUUUUUGUAAAGUCGCUUGCAAAUCUCGUCAGUCGCGGGUUGCGGGUUGUUGGGCUUGUUUUCUAAAGUGUAGUCGCUUAUUUGGGCUUGCUUUGCUGCCUGCAUAAACCGCUCCUGAUUCUCUCCCAGUUCUCCACAACAAAGCGAAACACGAUAGUUUAUCCUUUUCCAGGAUCCGUCCACUCCUCCGUUUCUCAGUUACCGCCCCCACCCACACAUGCAGAGCAACACCUGUGGAUGUUUGUAGGAGCGAUGUAGAGAAGACCCGACGCCAGGUACAGCGAAUAGACCUCAGACCUCGGUGUCUGUGUCUCUGUGUGCCCACCUGCCCGGUCCUGUCGCGGGUUGCCUGGUGACAGACGCUGCUACAGACGCUGCUGCAGCCGCGCGUUUAAAAAUGCCUCCAGCCAAAACUCCACCACGUUCAAAGAAGCAAAAACAUUUGCAAAAGUACAGACGUGAGUGGGAAGACUCGAACUCCUGGCUUGACAGCGUUAGUGGCAAUAGGUACAAGCCAAACUGUGGUUUCUGUUGCUCAUAGACAAGCUGAAGUAAGGCAGCAUCAGGAGACCAACAUGUAAGAAACAUGUGAACAGAGAGAACCCAACCAGCAGGUCACAGUUUAUCAUCCCAAAUCAUCUCCUGAAGUCCAUAUGAGCUGGCUGCUUGUUUCUAUCGCGAGAUCUGGCAACACUGGAGCUGACUUCCGGUAGUGGCAAGACGGGGAUUUCACAUUGGAACGCCAGCACGGUGGGUGUGGCUAAUAUCUGACCAUGGUGAAGUCGUGUGCUGCCAUCUCCUGCACCAGUCGAUUUGUAAUAUUUCCUUUCAUAAGUUUCCCAAGCAGUCCAAGGACAGCACACUGAGAGAUCAAUGGAUACAGGCCAUCAGUAGAGAAGCGGUGGGGACCAAGAGGAGAUGAUCAUAAUUAUGUCUGCAGCAACCAUUUCAGGGAGGAGGACUUCAUCCUCUCAAAACAUGCGCAACACAAGCUUCUCAGGCCAGGGGCUGUACCAUCCCUCAAUCUGGGGAAACCAGAGAAAAAGAUGGCAGUGAGGACAACCCAAAGCAGCCAGGCAGCAGUGGCAUUAUACCAGCACAUGGACAUGGAGCCUGAACAAGAGUCUGAAGAGGACAGUGCUGCUGUUAGUGAACACCAUGCAUACUGUACAGACACUGACACCCUGAAGAGGAAAUAUGACGAUCUAAGUGUACAGCAUGAAAAGCUAAGGCAGGACUUCAACAAUGCCAAACGUAGAGAGAAGCGCUGCAGAGUGACGUUGGAGGCCAUGUUAGCUAAAACCAAGGAAAUACAAGCUCUGUCUGAUGAUGCUCAUUCCAUGCUUGAUGCAUAUAAAGGUAUUCCUUGUUUAGAAGUACAUAUGAGUCACAUCCAGCAUAUGUAAAUAUAAUUAUGUAACUGCACAUUGCUCACCCACACAGUGCUCUAGAACUGAGAUCAAUGUUUGUUAAUGCUUCAUGAGAUGAUGACUGGUUCACAGAUAACUGUACUUUUGCCUUCCACAACAUUAUCUAAACAGUUUUGCGGCUGUGAUACCCAACAUUCAUAUGGAAACUAUCUAAGCUAUUAACUAAGUUUGAUCACACUUAAUUUUCAAUUACAGGUAAAUUGAUGAUGAUAGACCCUGUUUCUUUACCAGAAUAAUGUCAUUUGUUGCAAUUAGUGUUUGACAUGCUUUUAUUUUUUCUAUUUCUUGUCUUCUUUUGGCUGUUUUACUCAAUCAGUUUUAAUUAUUCUAGAAAUGAGUGUCCAUUGUAUUCAGUGAACCUUUUCUGAUUAAAGUGACUUCAUUUUUUAUUACACUACUUACUUUAUUUUUUACAUUUUACUCUGAAAAACCUCUGUGUAUGUUAAGGUACUACAUAAAUACUGUUGCUUGA